This 406-nucleotide ribosomal RNA is filed under the name uncultured bacterium. RNAcentral describes it as "partial 16S ribosomal RNA". It matches the Rfam family "Bacterial small subunit ribosomal RNA", at positions 30 to 526 of the family's 1533-position model. The record is from RNAcentral.
AUUGAACGCUGGCGGCAGGCCUAACACAUGCAAGUCGAACGAGUGGCGGAAGGGUGAGUAAUGUCUGGGAAACUGCCUGGUGGAGGGGGACAACUACUGGAAACGGUAGCUAAUACCGCAUACCACAAGCUCUGCCGAGAUGGGAUUAGCGAGUAGGUGGGGUAAUGGCUCACCUAGGCGACGAUCCCUAGCUGGUCUGCGAGGAUGACCAGCCACACUGGAACUGAGACACGGUCCAGACUCCUACGGGAGGCAGCAGUGGGGAAUAUUGCACAAUGGGCGCAAGCCUGAUGCAGCCAUGCCGCGUGUGUGAAGAAGGCCUUCGGGUUGUAAAGCACUUUCAGCGAGGAGGCGUUACUCGCAGAAUAAGCACCGGCUAACUCCGUGCCAGCAGCCGCGGUAAUAC